AACUUUGAGUAACUUUUGUUUCCAUUACGUGGAAAUGAAAUGCAAUGUUACAUGCAGAAAUUUUCAUGCCUGCUCUUACGAAGUUACAAACAUGGUGAUAAUGGUCCCAACCCAAGAAGUUGUUGUAUUCCUAAUUCAUUUUCCCUAUUUCACAAACACCAAACCAAACCUUCACUCUCAAGCCAAACUCCACUAAACAAUGUUGAGCCUUUUCUUAAUUCAAC
RNAcentral lists this long non-coding RNA (224 nucleotides) under Lathyrus oleraceus (garden pea). Its description in RNAcentral is "Pisum sativum (pea) long non-coding RNA (PSAT_LNC007580)". The record is from RNAcentral. Lineage: Eukaryota; Viridiplantae; Streptophyta; Magnoliopsida; Fabales; Fabaceae.